GAUGAACGCUGGCGGCGUGCCUAAUACAUGCAAGUCGAGCGAACAGAUGAGGAGCUUGCUCCUCUGACGUUAGCGGCGGACGGGUGAGUAACACGUGGAUAACCUACCUAUAAGACUGGGAUAACUUCGGGAAACCGGAGCUAAUACCGGAUAAUAUAUUGAACCGCAUGGUUCAAUAGUGAAAGACGGUUUUGCUGUCACUUAUAGAUGGAUCCGCGCCGCAUUAGCUAGUUGGUAAGGUAACGGCUUACCAAGGCGACGAUGCGUAGCCGACCUGAGAGGGUGAUCGGCCACACUGGAACUGAGACACGGUCCAGACUCCUACGGGAGGCAGCAGUAGGGAAUCUUCCGCAAUGGGCGAAAGCCUGACGGAGCAACGCCGCGUGAGUGAUGAAGGUCUUCGGAUCGUAAAACUCUUUUAUUAGGGAAGAACAAAUGUGUAAGUAACUAUGCACGUCUUGACGGUACCUAAUCAGAAAGCCACGGCUAACUACGUG
This 497-nucleotide ribosomal RNA is filed under the name uncultured bacterium. Its description in RNAcentral is "partial 16S ribosomal RNA". It matches the Rfam family "Bacterial small subunit ribosomal RNA", at positions 28 to 507 of the family's 1533-position model. The record is from RNAcentral.